Molecule: ribosomal RNA, 420 nt
Filed under: uncultured bacterium
Lineage: Bacteria
Description: bacterial SSU rRNA
Rfam family: Bacterial small subunit ribosomal RNA
Source: RNAcentral
AGGGAAUAUUGGACAAUGGGCGAAAGCCUGAUCCAGCCAUGCCGCGUGAAGGAUGAAGGCCCUCUGGGUUGUAAACUUCUUUUAUCUGGGAAGAAACUCUUGGAUUCAUCCAAGCCUGACGGUACCAGAGGAAUAAGCACCGGCUAACUCCGUGCCAGCAGCCGCGGUAAUACGGAGGGUGCAAGCGUUAUCCGGAUUCACUGGGUUUAAAGGGUGCGUAGGCGGGUUGGUAAGUCAGUGGUGAAAGCCCCGAGCUUAACUUGGGAACUGCCAUUGAUACUGCCAGUCUUGAAUACGGUUGAGGUAGGCGGAAUAUAGCAUGUAGCGGUGAAAUGCUUAGAUAUGCUAUAGAACACCGAUUGCGAAGGCAGCUUACUAAGCCGUUAUUGACGCUGAGGCACGAAAGCGUGGGGAGCAAAC